This 3687-nucleotide long non-coding RNA is filed under the name Cricetulus griseus (Chinese hamster). RNAcentral describes it as "lncRNA (ENSCGRG00015029652.1)". Lineage: Eukaryota; Metazoa; Chordata; Mammalia; Rodentia; Cricetidae. The record is from RNAcentral.
CAGGAAGUUCCCUCUUUUCCCCUCCGAUCCUGCUCCAGUGGCACAAUGUGAUCCACCAGCAAGGAGGUACACCAAUAAGGCAUCCGAUAAGAUAAGUCUUAUAAAAUAUAUAGAUUUAUGAUAAUUAAGACUGAGCUAGCAGAUGAGAAGUCCUAGUCAUUGGCCAAGAAGCUUUGUACCUAAUACAAGUUUCUGUGUAUUCAUUUGGGCCUAACUCGGUCAGGUGGCUGGCCUAAAGCGUACACAUGGCGGUGGGGCUCAGCGGCUUUUGGCGGAAAGAUUUAUCAUUUUCCUUUGAUUUUUUUCUGUUAUUUUGUUCUUGCUCUUUGCUGAGUUUUAAAAAAUGUAGUUAUUAUAUAUAACCAAAGAUAACUGUAAAUAUAUUUUACAUGGUCUAUGGCUUUACUGAGUCUUUCUGUGUCUCUCUGCCUCUCUCAACUGAUGUAUGUCUAUUUGUAUGUGUGCACUGAAUAAUUUUUAUGAUAUUUACUUGUCCAACAAUUCUAGGAUUACUAUUGUCCUAAAGUUGGUGUCUAUUGUGUUUUGAGUUGAUUCAUAUUUUUGUAUCAAAAUAUGAGCAUUUUCAUUAACUUGUGAGGUUAUGGAUUUUAUUAAUUUUCCUUUAGCUGGCUUCUUCUGCUAUCCCUUCAGCAAUGGCAGUGGGGCCCCACUUUAUUAGUGCCAAGUGAUGGUAGAAGUCUAAAUUCUCUAGUUUUCAUUCACAGAUACCAAAUGGUACAGAAGCUUAUAACUGCUGGGCAUGGCUGGCAGUUCUGGUUCUCUGGCUGUCCCUGCAGAUACAAUUCUUGUCACCACUCCCCAUCUGGUCUCCAUUGAUACCAUCUGGUUUCCACUGAAUUCUGGGAGGUGAUCAAAGCCCUCCCUUCUCUUUAGUCUUAUAUGUCAUCAGCCCAAAGUGAUGGAAGGAGGACCCUUGGUAAUUCUAGGUAGGAAUGGAGUUCAGGAUCCUCACUUGAUCCAGGAACACCAUGGGAGAUGCUGCUGCUGACAUGACUGCCAAGCCUUGGGAGAAGCCCUGGUCCCUGCAGCAUGAUCUGCUCUAUCCCAGGGGGAAGCACUGAAUACCUUCAUACAGACUAUUGGGGUGGCGUUCCAAUCUUCCCACACAGCCUUUUCAGACCUUGAGAUGAACAGAACAUGGAAUGACCCACCACAGGAUUAACUAUGACCAAGCAACAGUGAUGGCCAUCUUAGAGAACAGCUAACAUAUGACACCACUUCAAAAGCAGAAACAUUGCUUAGGAAACAAGCAGCAGAUGGAGGGCCUUGGUGUUCACAGAAGUGGUGUCAUGCUGAUUCCAAAAGAAAGGUGGCAUAGGAGAUACAGUCUCACAGAGACAUGUUCUUUCACUAUCUUGCUGGUAUUUUCCUCCACCAAGUACAAUCCACCUGUCUACUUCCAAGAAGGACCUUAUCUUUUUAUGAGAGAACCAGUUCUCCUCUUCUAGCUUUAUCACAUGCCAUGUCCUCUUCUAGUGCAAGCACUUCUGUGGAAUUGACUCAAUGGGUUUUAACAUCUGAGAAUGAAGUCCCUCAUCUGACAGUCAAUGCUAUCCAGGCUGAAGUCUCAAAUCCUCAUAACUUUGAACACAGAAUAAAAUGAGUGUGCUCUAAAAUAAGUGUGAGGAGUCCUUCAUCUGAUAAUGCAGCUUCUUUGGCAUAUUUGACAUAGUUAUUCCUUCAAACAUUCUUCUUGGGACUGUUUAGAAUUAAUAUCAUGGAAAUACGAAGUAGGAGGUUCCUUUCAGUAUUUCACCCAUCUCACAGGGUUGAAAUUAAACUGUGGGUUUGACCAAGGUCGUUGGCAGUGCACAAAUGAACAGAACCACACUCUUUAGAGUCAGAACAUUUUAUUUAUGUAACCUCUAGUGAUGAAGGACACUUUUGUCAAUCUGUUUCAUUAAGACUAGGCCUGUUUAUCUUUAAACAUAUUUUCCUUAGUGCCUUGGUCUUCCUGUGCCAAUCGGUGUUCACUGAGUAUAAUGAAGGACACUUAACAAAGGAAAAUUAUUCAUCUAUUCAAAUGUGGCCUGUGUAUCCUCAUGUGUGUUCUUUUGUUUGCAUCAUUCUUUCUCUAGAAUGCUUGGUCCAUUAUUCACUUAUUUUUCCAAUGCAAACGUAUUAAGAAUAGACUCUGUUACUGGCUUCGCUGUAUCCAAAUUCAAUAACUUUUUUAAGAGACUGAAAACUCAUUACUAGAAUCCUAGAAUCUGGGAGGCAGAGGCAUGAGAAUUAGAAAGUUGAGCCCUGCCUGGGCUACAUAGUGAGUUCAGUCCUGCUGAGUGACAUUAUGUGAUCCAGUCUUAACUAAAAACAAGAGCGACAGCUGUGUUUCACUGGUAGAACACUUGCUUUGCAUCAUGAGGUCAUUGGUUAGAUUCCAAAAGGCCAGUAAAAUGGUUACCUCUUCUGUAAGUUUAAUCUUUCCUGCUUAACUGGAAUUAAAAUUUCCAUUUUGGCCACAUGGAGGUGACACAUGCUUAAAUCCCAGCACCCAGGAGGCAGAAGCAGGCAGACCUCUGAGUUUGAGUCCAGUCUGGUCUUCAGAGCUAGUUCCAGGACAACCAGAGCUUAAGAACCCUGUCUCAAAAACAAAACAAAACAAAACAAAACAAUACAAAAAUUUCCUCCUUUGUUGUCCAGGUGAUAGUUAGUCUCUUUAUACAGUUGUGUGGUUGUGCCUGCAAUAUAAAAAUACUCUCAAAUAUGAUUUUGUUGGAAUUUUCAUUCUCUCCUUUUCAUUCCAAUGUAGUUCAGAGGUUACAUCAACAAAAUAAGCCUGCUCAAGAUCUAAGCACAGCUUCUCUUGUCUUGCAGCACAUAGACACAACUCUCAUUUAUUUACCACUAUCUUGCAAAUCUUUCCCAUUCUGUAGUCCAUAGGAGAUGUGGAAUACACCAUGUUCUUUUAAUAUCUCUUUCUUCCUUCCUUCCUUCCUUCCUUCCUUCCUUCCUUCCUUCCUUCCUUCCUUCCUUCCUUCCUUCCUUCUCUCUCUCUCUCUCUCUCUCUCUCUCUCUCUCUCUCUCUCUCUCUUUCUUUCUUUCUCUCUUUCUUUUUUUGUUUUCCCAAGACAGGGUUUUUCUAUGCACCUUUGGAGCCUGUCCUGGAACUAGCUCUUGUAAACCAGACUGUUCUCAAACUCACAGACAUCUUCCUGCUUCUGCCUCUGAAGUGCUGGGAUUAAAGGUAUGCACCACUACCACCCAGCUGAAAUACACCAUUUUCUAAUGAAUGUGUAUGAAUGGAUCUUUCAUGAAUUUGGGUUAUAGAAUAUGCCAAUAUGAUAUAGGAAUAGCAAAAUGAAGAGAACCCACAGGAUUUUCAUAGUACAAGAAGAGGUAUAAGAGACUGGUUAUUAUUGACAUUGUUAGACCCCCUGAAAACUCAAGUAUUCGGGGUCCCAGGCCACAUUCGCGGUCACCCCAAUCACCAGGCGGAUUCGAGAGCUUGCUGCAAACUGCUCGAGGCUUUAUUGUAAUUUAACGAGCUAACCCCAUGUUAGCUCGGGUCUUUCAUCCAACCGCCAUGGCGGAUAGCUAGAAAGACGGUUUGAAGCCGCUGUGUACAGAUCUUUAUAGGGCAGCAUAAGGGGAGUGUCUAGGGGUACGCACAGGCUCACGAUUGGUGUGCCUCCAGGCUUGGAGGGCUUGCCCUGUGUUGAUUGG